UGGUUGUCGUCAGCUCGUGUCGUGAGAUGUUGGGUUAAGUCCCGCAACGAGCGCAACCCUUGCCGUCAGUUGCCAUCAUUCAGUUGGGCACUCUGGCGGGACUGCCGGUGACAAAUCGGAGGAAGGUGGGGAUGACGUCAAAUCAUCAUGCCCCUUAUGUCCAGGGCUACACACGUACUACAAUGGCCGGUAACAAAGUGCCGCAAAGCCGCGAGGCGGAGCAAAUCACAAAACCCGGUCUCAGUUCAGAUUGCAGGCUGCAACUCGCCUGCAUGAAGGCGGAAUUGCUAGUAAUCGCGAAUCAGAAUGUCGCGGUGAAUACGUUCCCGGGCCUUGUACACACCGCCCGUCACACCAUGAGAGUCGAUAACACCCGAAGCCUGUGAGCUAACCUUAGGGGAGCAGCAGUCGAAGGUGGGGUUGAUGAUUAGGGUGAAGUCGUAACAAGGUAGCCGUAUCGGAAGGUGCGGUUGGAUCACCUC
This 482-nucleotide ribosomal RNA is filed under the name uncultured bacterium. Its description in RNAcentral is "bacterial SSU rRNA". It matches the Rfam family "Bacterial small subunit ribosomal RNA", at positions 1046 to 1529 of the family's 1533-position model. The record is from RNAcentral.